GACAUAAAAAUGGUCGCUCGGCCAUGAAAACGUGUGCUAUAGCUCACGGGAGGCCAAAACAGCCUUACCAGUCUCAAUGGUCAAAUCAUGGGUGGCGGACGGGAGGCACGAAAUCGCUGUUCGACGACAAAAACAUGUGUCACGGGAGGCCCUAAAACCUAAACCCUAAACCCUACAGCUCGUGGGAGGCCAAGAACAACUUUAAGGUGCUCUAGGGACCAAAACACGGGUGGUGGAACACGUACUUAAAAAUGGUCGCUCGACCAUGAAAACGUGUGCUAUAGCUCACUUGUGGCAAAAAAUGUCGUAACGGCCUCUCCGGUCUAAAACGUAGGUGGCAGGUCGGAUACAUGAAAUUGACACUUUGGCCACAGAAACGUGUGCUACAGCUCGUGGGAGGCCAAGAACAACUUUAAGGUGCUCUGGGGACCAAAACGCGGGUGGUGGAACACGUACUUAAAAAUGGUCGCUCGACCAUGAAAACAUGUGCUAUAGCUUAUGGGAGGCCAUAAACAUCCUUAGCAGUCUCAGUGGCCAAAUCAUGGGUGGUGGACGGGAGGCAUGAAAUCGUUGUUUGAUGAUGAAAACAUGUGUCACGGGAGGCCAAAAAUAGCCUUACGGGUCUUCGGGGACCAAAACGUGUACUAUGGUUUGGACACUAAAAUUCUACUAUGUCAGCAAAGUUGAUAUGGUUGGGAGACUCAAAUUUCAUUUUACCAUGGUUUCGACACUAAAAUCCUUUAGUGUCGAUGUUUAGGUUUAGGGUUUAGGGAUAGGAUUUUAGGGUCUAGGUUUCCAUAAAAUCGUGUGCUAGCUCACGGGUGGCAAAAAAAUGCCAUAACAGCCUCCCUAGUCUAAAACGAAGGUGGCAAGUCGGAUACAUAAAAUUGGCUGUUUGGCCACGGAAAUGUGUGAUAUAGCUCGCGGGAGGCCAAGAACCGCUUUACGGUGCUCCGGGGAAAAAAACACGUGUGGCGGAACGCGGACAUAAAAAUGGUCGCUGGGCCAUGAAAACGUGUGCUAUAGCUCACGGGAGGCCGAAACAGCCUUACCAGUCUCGAUGGUCAAAUCAUGGGUGGCGGACGGGAGGCACGAAAUCGUUGUUCGACGACAAAAACAUGUGUCACAGGAGGCCCUAAAACCUAUACCCUAAACCCUACAGCUCGUGGGAGGCCAAGAACAACUUUAAG
RNAcentral lists this long non-coding RNA (1190 nucleotides) under Zea mays. RNAcentral's name for it is "long non-coding RNA (ZMAY_LNC003529)". The record is from RNAcentral. Lineage: Eukaryota; Viridiplantae; Streptophyta; Magnoliopsida; Poales; Poaceae.